This 424-nucleotide ribosomal RNA is filed under the name uncultured Oscillospiraceae bacterium. RNAcentral describes it as "bacterial SSU rRNA". It matches the Rfam family "Bacterial small subunit ribosomal RNA", at positions 355 to 794 of the family's 1533-position model. The record is from RNAcentral. Lineage: Bacteria; Bacillati; Bacillota; Clostridia; Eubacteriales; Oscillospiraceae.
UGGGGAAUAUUGGGCAAUGGGGCGAAAGCCUGACCCAGCAACGCCGCGUGAAGGAAGAAGGUUUUCGGAUUGUAAACUUCUUUAUCAGGGACGAAGAAAGUGACGGUACCUGAUGAAUAAGCCACGGCUAACUACGUGCCAGCAGCCGCGGUAAUACGUAGGUGGCGAGCGUUAUCCGGAAUUACUGGGUGUAAAGGGUGUGUAGGCGGGGAAGCAAGUCAGAUGUGAAAACCAAAGGCUCAACCUUUGGCUUGCAUUUGAAACUGUUUUCUUGAGAGUGGGAGAGGUAAACGGAAUUCCUAGUGUAGUAGUGAAAUGCGUAGAUAUUAGGAGGAACACCGGUGGCGAAGGCGGUUUACUGGACCACAACUGACGCUGAGACACGAAAGCGUGGGGAGCAAACAGGAUUAGAUACCCUGGUAGU